CUAGGUGAAAUUCAAGAGUGGACAGAAUAGAACCAUGGAGUAUUCAGUGCCAGGGAAAUGGCCAUCAGGAGCCAAGGAACAAGAAACUACUUCUGGAAAGAAGAGGCACACAGGUACGAUAUGAAAGGCAGCCCAGAAAAUGGCUAAGGAUUCUCAAAAAGACAAUGCAGAGACCCCUUCACUACAAGACAAGAGGCGCCCCUCUCAGGAUCUGCCACUAUGUACUCCCCUUGGCUCCAGGCCAACACAUAGCGUUAAGGUGCAGCAUAAGACAACUAGAGAAGUGUUGGGCUUGCCAAGGAAGGAAAGUGAAUAUGCACACAUGGAGUCAAUUUGCACCAGAAGGAAACUGGGGAGUACUACAUGCCUGGAUUCUAAAGAGUCUACUUCCCUGGAAAGAUGACCUGCUGACCUGCAUGACCUACAACAUGCACCUAGCAAUCAUUUAUGUAUUUGAUAUAUUUUUUAAUUUGAGCAACUA
Long non-coding RNA from Homo sapiens (human), 481 nucleotides. The record is from Ensembl. Lineage: Eukaryota; Metazoa; Chordata; Mammalia; Primates; Hominidae.